GUGCCAGCCGCCGCGGUAAUACGUAGGGUGCAAGCGUUAAUCGGAAUUAUUGGGCGUAAAGCGCGCGUAGGUGGUUCAGUAAGUCGGAUGUGAAAUCCCCGGGCUCAACCUGGGAACUGCAUCCAAAACUGCUGAGCUAGAGUACGGUAGAGGGUAGUGGAAUUUCCUGUGUAGCGGUGAAAUGCGUAGAUAUAGGAAGGAACACCAGUGGCGAAGGCGACUACCUGGACUGAUACUGACACUGAGGUGCGAAAGCGUGGGGAGCAAACAGGAUUAGAUACCCUUGUAGUCC
This 292-nucleotide ribosomal RNA is filed under the name uncultured bacterium. Its description in RNAcentral is "partial 16S ribosomal RNA". It matches the Rfam family "Bacterial small subunit ribosomal RNA", at positions 505 to 796 of the family's 1533-position model. The record is from RNAcentral.